AUGCUUCUCUUAAACGAAGACAGCCUCCAGGCUGUCACUGGGCCUGUGGCCAAGACCCUCCUGAGGACAGGCCAGAGGUCACAGCCAGCCCCAGCAGUUCAGGCCAUCAGGCAAGUGCCCCUUCAGACAUCUUUGGGACAUAUAUUUCUUAUAAGGAGCAGCAGGGAUUUCCCAGGACAACAAAAGUACAGAGACAACAGAAGUCUCCCUUCUCACCAAGAAAACUUCUUUAAAGCCACAGUCAAGGAGGGAAGAAGAUCCAAAGAUGGGAAGUUUCAGCUGUCUGAGGUCCCACAGGUGGAAGCCUGUGCAGAGGCAAUGAUUACCUGCCACCAUUUCCCUCCUCCUCACCCUGCCUUUCGUAUAGAACCCUGGUACUCUGGGAAUAUUUUGAAUUUAGCUUAACUGUAACCAAAUUCUGUGCUAUACUCCAGCAAGCCUAAGCUAAAAGUCUUGAUGAGGAAAUGCUGCUGGAAAACAUCUGCGCUUUGUUUUGUGCAACUGAAGAGUUAAAAAUAUUUUCAUAAAUACUAUAAUGUAUAAAAGCUGUGAACAAGCAAAUGUAGUGUCAAACUUCCAAAUUGUAUAAAUGUAUUUGUCUCUCAUAUUAGUAAAUGCUAUUUGAACAGAAAUAGCACAUUGUAACAGCCUAACAAGAAGCAGUCUUUCUGAUGACGUUUAAGACUUCUUUGCUCCACUGUAUGGAAAUAUUUAAGACCUAAAAGAUUUAUAUUACAACAUGGCAUUUGAAAUGGUCCAGUCCUGUUCCCAGGGAAGUCAAAGAGUCUUUUUACCAUCAACUUCAAUGGAAACAACAUAAGAACAAAGAUCCAUUUUAAUUUGAUAUUUUUUUCCUAUUUUACUCUAAGAGACAGCCCUCCCCUCCUACCCUAAAAAGUUACUAAACUAUUUAUCAAGCAUAAGCCAUUGUCAUGUCCAGAAAUUAAUGUCAAUUGAGACUUCUCUCCAGAUAACAGUAAGUGGGCUACAAAUAUCAGAUUCCUAUGCAACACUGGGCACAGUGAAACACUGCGUAUUUCAUUCAUACUGGAAAGAUUAAAUGAUCUUUUAGAAGCCUUUCCUACAAUAUCUAACAUAUUGCCUUCCUUGCCCUGAGACAAAAAUUGUCACCUUACACCCUGCACUAACUUUGAAGAUUACAGUCAACAUGAACUAAAAAGUAAUAACAUCUGAUCCUUUAAAGCACGAGGUAACAGCAUCUAAUCCAUUUUCUUUUUUGAUUGAUAGAUGCCAAAUUAAAUGAGAUAAACUAUGAAAUA
This 1280-nucleotide long non-coding RNA is filed under the name Numida meleagris (helmeted guineafowl). RNAcentral describes it as "lncRNA (ENSNMEG00000015505.1)". Lineage: Eukaryota; Metazoa; Chordata; Aves; Galliformes; Numididae. The record is from RNAcentral.